ACGGGUGCGUAACACGUGAGCAACCUACCGAACUGUGGGGGAUAGCCGGCCUAACGGCCGAGUAAUACCGCAUACGCUUUCAGUGAGGCAUUUCAUUGAAAGGAAACCUACGGGACAGAUCGAGGGGCUCGCGGCCUAUCAGCUAGUUGGCGAGGUAACGGCUCACCAAGGCGACGACGGGUAGCUGGUCUGAGAGGAUGGCCAGCCACAUUGGGACUGAGAUACGGCCCAGACUCCUACGGGAGGCAGCAGUGGGGAAUCUUGCGCAAUGGCCUAACGGCUGACGCAGCGACGCCGCGUGUGGGAUGAAGCUCUUCGGAGUGUAAACCACUGUUGCCCGGGACGAAUAGCUCGAUUAAUCGAGCCUGACGGUACCGGGUGAGGAAGCACCGGCUAACUCCGUGCCAGCAGCCGCGGUAAUACGGGGGGUGCGAGCGUUGUCCGGAAUCACUGGGCGUAAAGGGCGCGUAGGUGGUUUGAUAAGGGUGUGGUGAAAGUCCGGGGCUCAACCCCGGAUCUGCCGUGCCGACUGUCAAACUCGAGGACUGUAGAGGCAGACGGAAUUCCGGGUGUAGCGGUGGAAUGCGUAGA
RNAcentral lists this ribosomal RNA (591 nucleotides) under uncultured bacterium. RNAcentral's name for it is "bacterial SSU rRNA". It matches the Rfam family "Bacterial small subunit ribosomal RNA", at positions 102 to 694 of the family's 1533-position model. The record is from RNAcentral.